UCCCUUGCGUGCUCACUUCCAUUCCGCACAGCAGCCUUCCUCGGAAAGAUAAUGUUUGAAAUGUUUGGCUUACGUAUAAAAAGAUUGAUUUUUGAUUUUCCCUUUAUUGAACUUCCAGACGCAGAUGAAUUUGAGGUAGAAGAGCCGAAACCAAAGAGUGUUGUAGCAGGUACCGUGGUAGUAAGAGAUCGUUGGGAGGGAGAAGAUGAAGAGGAGGAAGUGAAGG
Non-coding RNA from Pelobates cultripes (western spadefoot toad), 226 nucleotides. The record is from the annotation of a GenBank genome assembly. Lineage: Eukaryota; Metazoa; Chordata; Amphibia; Anura; Pelobatidae.